Molecule: ribosomal RNA, 500 nt
Filed under: uncultured bacterium
Lineage: Bacteria
Description: partial 16S ribosomal RNA
Rfam family: Bacterial small subunit ribosomal RNA
Source: RNAcentral
AUUGAACGCUGGCGGCAUGCCUUACACAUGCAAGUCGAACGGCAGCGCGGACUUCGGUCUGGCGGCGAGUGGCGAACGGGUGAGUAAUGCAUCGGAACGUACCUUUCAGUGGGGGAUCACGUAGCGAAAGUUACGCUAAUACCGCAUAUUCUGUGAGCAGGAAAGCAGGGGAUCGCAAGACCGUGCGCGGAUUGAGCGGCCGAUGUCAGAUUAGCUAGUUGGUGAGGUAAAGGCUCACCAAGGCGACGAUCUGUAGCGGGUCUGAGAGGAUGAUCCGCCACACUGGGACUGAGACACGGCCCAGACUCCUACGGGAGGCAGCAGUGGGGAAUUUUGGACAAUGGGGGCAACCCUGAUCCAGCCAUGCCGCGUGAGUGAAGAAGGCCUUCGGGUUGUAAAGCUCUUUCGGCCGGGAAGAAAUCGCAUGGGUUAAUACCCUGUGUGGAUGACGGUACCGGAAUAAGAAGCACCGGCUAACUACGUGCCAGCCGCCGCCGUAA